RNAcentral lists this ribosomal RNA (249 nucleotides) under uncultured Eubacteriales bacterium. RNAcentral's name for it is "uncultured Clostridiales bacterium partial 16S ribosomal RNA". It matches the Rfam family "Bacterial small subunit ribosomal RNA", at positions 85 to 334 of the family's 1533-position model. The record is from RNAcentral. Lineage: Bacteria; Bacillati; Bacillota; Clostridia; Eubacteriales.
AAGUGGAUUAGCGGCGGACGGGUGAGUAACACGUGAGUAACCUGCCUUAGACAUUGGGAUAGCCUCGGGAAACCGGGAUUAAUACCAAAUAAAAUCAUAAUGACACGUGUCGUAACGAUCAAAACUCCGGUGGUCUAAGAUGGACUCGCGUCCCAUUAGCUAGUUGGUAGAGUAAAAGCCUACCAAGGCGACGAUGGGUAGCCGGCCUGAGAGGGUGAACGGCCACAUUGGAACUGAGAAACGGUCCAA